RNAcentral lists this non-coding RNA (57 nucleotides) under Alexandrium minutum. Lineage: Eukaryota; Dinophyceae; Gonyaulacales; Pyrocystaceae. The record is from RNAcentral.
UUUUUUUUUUUUUUUUUUUUUUUUUUUUUUUUUUUUUUUUUAGACGGGCACUGUUGA